AGUCGUAACAAGGUUUCCGUAGGUGAACCUGCGGAAGGAUCAUUACCAAUCCAAAAAACCUUUCUAUAAACCCUUGUGAACUGACAAAUUGAGUUGUACCUUGGAUGUUCAGGUUAUUUAUAGUAAUGACUACUUUAAUAAUAUACGUAUUACGGUAAUAAAUUUAAUUUUAUUACUUGUUAUUAUUAAUUUUAGUUAGUACUAUAUAAUAAUUUGACAUCCAAUUGUAAAACCCCUUGAAAACCUUUAGUUGACUAACUAAACUUGAAAAAAAUCUCGUUUUUUUUCCCCAGUAUCAUAUUUAUUGUGAUCUGGCAAAAAUUAAAAGAGUAAAUAAUAAUAAUAAAUACAACUUUUGGCGGUGGAUCUCUUGGCUCAU
This 379-nucleotide unclassified non-coding RNA is filed under the name fungal sp. Its description in RNAcentral is "partial internal transcribed spacer region". The stretch from base 1 to 45 matches the Rfam family "Eukaryotic small subunit ribosomal RNA", at positions 1787 to 1831 of the family's 1831-position model. Lineage: Eukaryota; Fungi. The record is from RNAcentral.